This is a long non-coding RNA of Hemiscyllium ocellatum (epaulette shark), 376 nucleotides long. RefSeq lists it as uncharacterized. Lineage: Eukaryota; Metazoa; Chordata; Chondrichthyes; Orectolobiformes; Hemiscylliidae. The transcript is spliced from 4 exons. The record is from RefSeq and is a predicted model, not a curated record.
UGGAGUAUCACAGCAUAUGAAAUUCAGUUGCCUGUUGGCAGCAGGAAGAGCUGGAGCGUCGACCAUGAGGCUGACAGGAAAGUGAAUCACUAAUUUAAAAACUUACCUCAUGAUUAGCUGGAACACACGCUGAGCAGGAGUGGACACGGGACUGCUGAGAAAUGACAUCACCACAAACCCCAGGAACCCUAUCCAGGAGAAAGAUAUAAAUAGAAAGUAGGAGACAACAGCUUCACUUCACUUGGAGGUCACCACUGAUGAUGUUACCUAGCCAGCCUACCAUGUGGAACCUUAUCAUGGGCUUUACUGAAAUCCACCUAUACCCCGUCAACUGCCCUACCCUCAUCUACAUGCUUGGUUACCUUCUCAAAAAACU